AGCCCACUGUAUCCGUGCUGAGAUUUCGUCAGAGAUCAACCCGUUGGGACUGAUGUAACUUCCCAGAUGAGUGAAGCG
Non-coding RNA from Trichobilharzia regenti, 78 nucleotides. Lineage: Eukaryota; Metazoa; Platyhelminthes; Trematoda; Strigeidida; Schistosomatidae. The record is from Rfam.